RNAcentral lists this ribosomal RNA (232 nucleotides) under uncultured bacterium. RNAcentral describes it as "partial 16S ribosomal RNA". It matches the Rfam family "Bacterial small subunit ribosomal RNA", at positions 99 to 334 of the family's 1533-position model. The record is from RNAcentral.
CGGACGGGUGAGUAAUGUCUGGGAAACUGCCCGAUGGAGGGGGAUAACUACUGGAAACGGUAGCUAAUACCGCAUAACGUCGCAAGACCAAAGAGGGGGACCUUAGGGCCUCUUGCCAUCGGAUGUGCCCAGAUGGGAUUAGCUAGUAGGUGGGGUAAUGGCUCACCUAGGCGACGAUCCCUAGCUGGUCUGAGAGGAUGACCAGCCACACUGGAACUGAGGCACGGUCCAG